UACAUGGGGUGCAAACGUUGCUCGGAAUCAUUGGGCGUAAAGCGCGUGUAGGCGGUUACUUAAGUCGGAUGUGAAAGCCCUCGGCUUAACUGAGGAAGUGCAUCCGAAACUGAGUAGCUAGAGUACGAAAGAGGGUCGCGGAAUUCCCGGUGUAGAGGUGAAAUUCGUAGAUAUCGGGAGGAACACCGGUGGCGAAGGCGGCGACCUGGGUCGAGACUGACGCUGAUACGCGAAAGCGUGGGGAGCAAACAGG
RNAcentral lists this ribosomal RNA (253 nucleotides) under uncultured bacterium. RNAcentral describes it as "partial 16S ribosomal RNA". It matches the Rfam family "Bacterial small subunit ribosomal RNA", at positions 524 to 776 of the family's 1533-position model. The record is from RNAcentral.